AAGUAUAUGCAUAUUUGAUAUGUAGAAACUGCGAACGGCUCAUUAAAACAGUUAUAAUCUACUUGACAUUUGUUCUUAUAUAAGGUUAACUCCGGAAAACCGGUGCCUAAACCUGGGCCUAGGGCAAAUUUUUGUUUAACAAAGGUUACUGGUUUUUGUUAAUCCCUUAUAAAAGGAAUAAAAAAAAAAUUCCUUUAACAAAAGGAAUUAUAACAAAGAAGUAACACCGUACUUGACUUAUGUCUAGUUUAUUGUGUAUCAAUCGAGUUUCUGAACCUAUCAGCUUUUGAUGUUAGGAUAUUGGCCUAACAUGGCGGUGAACGGGUAACGGGGAAUUAGAGUUCGAUUCCGGAGAGGGAGCCUGAGAAACGGCUACCACAUCUAAGGAAGGCAGCAGGCGCGUAACUUACCCAAUUCUAGAGAAGAGAGGUAGUGACAAGAAAUAAUAAGACAAGACCAAAUUUUGGUUUUGUAUUUGUGCUGAUGGAAAAUUAAAAUUUUUCCAGAAUUCCAUUGGAGGGCAAGUCUGGUGCCAGCAGCCGCGGUAAUUCCAGCUCCAAUAGCGUAUAUUAAAAUUGUUGCAGUUAAAACGCUCGUAGUUGAAUUUCAAGAAGAUCUAUUCUUAGUUAGGGGUUGCGUAGAUCGUCGCGUUCAUUCUCUACGAAUGUAGCGCGCUACGGUUAACGUUUUAACGCCUUUCUAAAUCCAAUGAUCUUUUUUUUAGUUUUUUCUUAUUUGCUUCGGCAGAUGGUUAAAACUACGUUACUUUGAGUAAAUUAGAGUGUUCAAAGCAAACAUGGAAAGCAUUUUAUAUGUGUUUGAAUACUAAAGCAUGGAAUAAUACAAUUGAACUUAGUGAAACCUUUUUUUUUUUUUUUAUGUUUCGCUUUAGUUACGAUUAAUAGGAGUAGAUUGGGGGCAUUUGUAUUCAGAUGUUAGAGGUGAAAUUCUUAGAUUUUCUGGAGACAAACUACUGCGAAAGCAUUUGCCUAAAAUACUUCCAUUAAUCAAGAACGAAAGUUAAGGGAGUGAAGACGAUCAGAUACCGUCGUAAUCUUAACCAUAAACGAUGCCGACUAGGUUUUGGAUAAAAAAAAAUUUUAAUUUAGUUCGCUUCAUGUAUGUAUUUCGGUAUGUGCAUGGGGUGAAUUAAUGACUUGUCUUUUUUCAGUACCUUAUGAGAAAUCAAAGUCUUUGGGUUCUGGGGCGAGUAUUCGCGCAAGCGAGAAAGUUAAAAGAAUUGACGGAAGGGCACCACCAGGCGUGGAGCUUGCGGCUUAAUUUGACUCAACACGGGAAAACUUACUAGUGUAAGACAAGAGUAGGAUUGACAGAUUGAUAGCUCUUUCUUGAUUUCUUGGAUGGUGAUGCAUGGCCGUUUUUAGUUCGUGAAUUUUGAUUUGUCUGGUUAAUUCCGAUAACGAACGAGACCUUACCUUGCUAAUUAGCGACAAGUACAUUUUUCGUUUAUUACGUGAAACAAGUACAUAAAAUACUUAGGUUAUUACCGGGUGUUGCAUUCGCGUGUAACAUUAGCGGAGUAUCCGUUACGGGUUUUUAUGACUUGUUUUUACGUUAUAAUCGAGUAUUUGUUAAAAACUUUGAAGCUUCUUAGAGGGACGAUGUGUGUUUAACACAAG
RNAcentral lists this ribosomal RNA (1640 nucleotides) under Hepatocystis sp. ex Callosciurus notatus HNH-2013. RNAcentral's name for it is "partial small subunit ribosomal RNA". It matches the Rfam family "Eukaryotic small subunit ribosomal RNA", at positions 61 to 1439 of the family's 1831-position model. Lineage: Eukaryota; Apicomplexa; Aconoidasida; Haemosporida; Plasmodiidae. The record is from RNAcentral.